CUCGAGAACAGAGGGGCGGGUGCCGGCCCCCUGCCAGGCUCAGUCGGCCAACCACCCUCGGCCUCGGGCCCGUGGGGUACAACGGCAGUAAUCCUAACAACAGGACGGCAGCAAACGCCCCGGCGGGGCUGGUCACGGAGCAGGCACCGCUCUCAACGUUAGCGCUCGGUCUGCACAGCUGCCUACAGGCUGAGGAAGAGAUACGGGGACAGAGACCUGGGGCUGAACGUACGACGGGGAGGGGAAGAUGGCCACGGGGCUUCCAGGAGCUGGCCCAGCCCUGCAGGGGCUCCCGCCCCAGUCCCCUCCAGCCUCAGCCCCUCAGCCUCACCGGCACACAGAGUUCCCCAUGGCGAGACCCCAGGACCGGAGAGAGGGCUGGGGGUGAAGCGGGUUGGACACCCCCCACCCCGAAAGGGAACCACUGCCUGGUCUCUUGGCUGGUCUGUGGCUCUGCCAACACCUUCUGGUAAGGGCAGGAUGUGGGAAGGCGGGGACAUCUGGCGCUCCAGGCACCAGCCCCGUCUGGAAAAGAGACCUUCCACAGAGGAACUGAGGGGGAACAGCUUUCUUCGAAUCCCACCCGCUGACGUUCUGAGGGUCUUACAGCUGGAAAGCGCAGGGGCCACCCGGAGCCAUCUCUUGUCUGACGGAACAGCUCAGGGUCUCCCGUCCACUCUACACUCCGCCCUCUGCCGUGACUCAGCUCCUCUGUCGGGCCUGGGAUCCCAGCCAGAAUUAAUCCCGGCUUCCUCUCCCGCCAAGGGACAGGGAGCACCCCUUCCCCGCCCGGCUCCUCCUUCCCAAACUCUGUCCUCUUGCAAGACCCCCUCACAGCCCGGCCCCAGGUUGGGACCCAGGUUGGGAAGGGAAACGGGUAGGCCACCCAAGGUCAGCGUGCGCCUCCCUCCGGCUGCAAACACGUGUGUCGGGCCUUGGCCAACUCUGAGGUAACAGCCCUGCCUUUCCCAGGGCCUCCCCGCGCCCCCAGCACAGGCCUUCUCCCCAACACAGCCCUCGCCACUGUCCUCAAAGGGGAGGCGUCCCAACAAAGUGUCCUUUCCUACUAGCAAUAAAAACAGCAGAGGCCAAGA
Long non-coding RNA from Lynx canadensis (Canada lynx), 1094 nucleotides. RefSeq lists it as uncharacterized. NCBI's taxonomy places the organism in Eukaryota, Metazoa, Chordata, Mammalia, Carnivora, Felidae. The transcript is spliced from 4 exons. The record is from RefSeq and is a predicted model, not a curated record.